Molecule: long non-coding RNA, 2670 nt
Organism: Erinaceus europaeus (western European hedgehog)
Lineage: Eukaryota; Metazoa; Chordata; Mammalia; Eulipotyphla; Erinaceidae
Exons: 3
Source: RefSeq, a predicted model, not a curated record
UUAAUCUGCAGUCACUGAAGUGCUUCCUGUGGUUAGCCACUACAGUUCAGAGAGGCAGUAUGAGAGUUAGACUUGGCCAAACAUCCAUAUCCAAGGCUGAGACCUGAAGCAGUCUGCUAACCCAGCUCCUACCAACGGACUUUAUAGCAGCUGCAGCAGAGAAUUCACAGAGCUGCUGUCACAUCGCCAUCCACUCAGCUGUCUAACUGGGAAAGCGAUUGAUUGUUCCUCUAAACACCUGCCCCGUUCUCAGCCUCGGUCAUCACUCAGUCCUGCUUACCCUAUUUUCCAAACGGACACACUUCUCUACCCUCACUACCACUCUACAAAUCUGAGCCACUGUCCUCUCCCAAGUUGACUGUUGCAAGUAACUACUAACUACUGACAGCUGCCCUGCUUCCUUGGUGGUUCCAGAUGUUCAGAAAGCCCAAUCAAUCUGUAUAGAAAACUGCUCUGCUUCUCCUGCUAAGUAUUCUAGGUGUGGGAGGGAGGGCUAAGCAAUGACUGAUGGAAACUGCCACACAGCUGAAGUAUGCCCAGCUUCAGCCACUACAGUAUCAACAGGUGCAGAGAGCUUACAGACUGCUUUGAUGCAGAUGCCCUGUUUAUUUGUCCCUGUACUUUGUGACCCACUACAAAAUGAAAAUGCACAGUUUUCUGUUAAUUCUUACGAAUGUUGAGGGACCUACAUUCCACUAUCUCCCUCAGUGUGCACAUCAUCUUUAAAGAUUGAUCUUCUCAAAAGAAAUGCAGCAAAGCCAAUGGCAGCGGAUUGGUGGCAACACUCUGUGGCUGAGGGAUGACAGUGCCUGCCCGUGCAGUGGGCUGCAGAGGGGAGGCACAGUGCCCGACUUCCAGGGCUGGGCAGGAGGGAUUCGAUCAUGGGGUUUCUGGACCCUGUGCUGUUUCUUUUUCUUUUUCAUUCACCAGAGCUUUGCUCAGCUCUGACGAAUAGUAAGGGGUUCAAGAGACCGGACACUGGAUUUCUGAGCCUGAGGCAUGGAAAAUUGACGCCAGGCCCCUCCGCCAUUCAGGAAGCUCCCCGAGGUGAAGAACGACAUUGUCACUGACAGUCACCUCAGACACGGCACUCAGCAUGGCGCUGGCUGCACACGGUACACUGCAUGCGCUCCCGGAAUGUAGCGCGUUCCCUUGCAUUUGUCCUCUGCAACAUGAUUUCAGCUUCAAGGAGGUCUGUCUUGCGACUUUAUCAGCUCCAAGGAAUGAUUGUUUCUGUCCAUCACUUUUGUACAGGAAAACAAAACCGAGGGAGCAAAAGAACCACUUCCUUAUGUGUGUGAUAUGGAGCCUAGCACACCACAGUGUGCCCUGCCUGUCUCCACCACUCCAGGACACUCCUUUGUUUUACUUUAGAGAGAGAGGGGGAGAGAGAGACAUACAGACAGACAGACAGACAUGCCAGAGCAUUGUUCAGCCUAACACGCCACAGUGUGCCCUGCCUGUCUCCACUACUCCAGGACACUCGUUUUUUUUUUUUUUCUUGAGAGAGAGAGGGAGGGAGGUAGGUAGAGAGCGAGGCAGGGAGAGAGAGAGAGAGAGAGAGAGAGAGAGAGAGAUUGAGAGGAAGACAGACAUGCCAGAGCACUGUGCAGCUCUGUUUAUGGUGAUGCCAGGGAUUGAAGCUGGGACCUGGGAGUCUCAGGCAUGAAAGUCUUCUGUAUAACCAUUAUGUUGUCUUCACAGCUCUGUCUUUAGUUUUCUACAUGAUUUGAAUGGCAUCACACUGGCAUUUCUGAAAUUGAUUUAUUUGGGGAAGGAGGAAGGAAGAGUGGAAGGGAGGAAGGAGCGAGAGAAAGACCACGUGUGGGAGCUAGAGAGGGCGAGCACAUUUGCUCAGUUCUAGAGUAUGGUGGUGACCAGAUUCAGCCUAGGACAUCCCUGCCUCAGAUGCCAAAGCCUGGUGUGCUACAGCCUGUGUGUGCUCUCUCCUCGACCCACAUUACAGGAUUUGCUGUUUUCUUUUCUUUAUUUUUUCCCUCCAGGGUCAUCACUGGGGUUUGGUGCCAGCGCUAUGAACCCACUGCUCCUGGAGGCCAUGCCCCCAUUUUAUUGUACAGGACAGAGAGAACUUGAGAGGAGAGGGAUAGAGAAGGAGAAAGAAGGACAGACACCUCAGACCUGCUUCACCGCUUGUGAAGCAUCCCGCUUCAGGUGGGGAGCCAGGGGCUCAAACUCAGACCCUGGAGUGGGUCCCUGCCCUUCGUCUAUGUGUGCUUAGCUGGGUGAUCCACUGCCGGCCCCCGCUGUUUUUUGUAUUUCAACUUCAAACAUGACAAAGUCUUGGAUUUAGAACCUAUAAGUAAUUCAUUUGGGAAGUGAAGAAGAAAUAGAAGUCUCAUUCCACACCCAGCCUUUAACUUGUUUGUGUGUGUGAGGAGAGUGAAGAGCAAGGCCAGGACAUCUCUUUCUAGGCGUCAUGGGAGCUGGAAGGCAGAGCCUGAGGCCUGCAAGGCCUGUGCUCUACCACUGAGCCACCUCACAGGGACACCCUCUGGCACAGCUACACGUCCCUCUGCAUGGUGUGAGGACACACAUUCAUUACAGGGUGUUUGGUGGCUGCUUACAACUUGACUCUUUACAAAUUCUCGGCAAUAAAAAAGUGAAUCUUCCCUGACUAAUGUUUUUUCUUCUCUUUUUUUUCGUCAAAGA